AUUGAACGCUGGCGGCAGGCCUAACACAUGCCAGUCGAGCGGAUGAAGGGAGCUUGCUCCUGGAUUCAGCGGCGGACGGGUGAGUAAUGCCUAGGAAUCUGCCUGGUAGUGGGGGAUAACGUCCGGAAACGGGCGCUAAUACCGCAUACGUCCUGAGGCAGAAAGUGGGUGAUCUUCGGACCUCACGCUAUCAGAUGAGCCUAGGUCGGAUUAGCUAGUUGGUGGGGUAAAGGCCUACCAAGGCGACGAUCCGUAACUGGUCUGAGAGAAUGAUCAGUCACACUGGAGCUGAGACACGGUCCAGACUCCUACGGGAGGGAGCAGUGGCGAAUAGUGGACAGUGGGCGAAAGCCUGAUCCAGCCAUGCCGCGUGUGUGAAGAAGGUCUUCGGAUUGUAAAGCACUUUAAGUUGGGAGGAAGGGCAGUAAGUUAAUACCUUGCUGUUUUGACGUUACCAACAGAAUAAGCACCGGCUAACUUCGUG
Molecule: ribosomal RNA, 484 nt
Filed under: uncultured bacterium
Lineage: Bacteria
Description: partial 16S ribosomal RNA
Rfam family: Bacterial small subunit ribosomal RNA
Source: RNAcentral